UGAGGAAUAUUGGUCAAUGGACGCAAGUCUGAACCAGCCAUGCCGCGUGCAGGAAGACGGCUCUAUGAGUUGUAAACUGCUUUUGUACGAGGGUAAACGCAGAUACGCGUAUCUGUCUGAAAGUAUCGUACGAAUAAGGAUCGGCUAACUCCGUGCCAGCAGCCGCGGUAAUACGGAGGAUUCAAGCGUUAUCCGGAUUUAUUGGGUUUAAAGGGUGCGUAGGCGGUCGGAUAAGUUAGAGGUGAAAUCCCGGGGCUCAACUUCGGAAUUGCCUCUGAUACUGUUCGGCUGGAGAGUAGUUGCGGUAGGCGGAAUGUAUGGUGUAGCGGUGAAAUGCUUAGAGAUCAUACAGAACACCGAUUGCGAAGGCAGCUUACCAAGCUACUUCUGACGUUGAGGCACGAAAGCGUGGGGAGCAAACAGG
RNAcentral lists this ribosomal RNA (424 nucleotides) under uncultured bacterium. RNAcentral describes it as "bacterial SSU rRNA". It matches the Rfam family "Bacterial small subunit ribosomal RNA", at positions 355 to 776 of the family's 1533-position model. The record is from RNAcentral.